Long non-coding RNA from Manis pentadactyla (Chinese pangolin), 1839 nucleotides. RefSeq lists it as uncharacterized. The record is from RefSeq and is a predicted model, not a curated record. The transcript is spliced from 4 exons. Lineage: Eukaryota; Metazoa; Chordata; Mammalia; Pholidota; Manidae.
GUUGUUUCCAAUUUUUAUCAAUGGAAAUUUCUUUGAUAAAUUUUGGUACAUUCCUAUAGUAGAAUGCUGUGAGGCUGAGAAUGAAGUAAAACUGUACAUUGACAUGGGAAGAUAUCUAAGAUUAUUCAAAGAAGAAAAUAGGUUGCAAAUAGAACAGAGAAGACUCAAGCAUUGCUAAAGUAUACACAAAAAAUUAAACAUAUGCUAAUAUGUUUCUAAAAUACAGUAGAAAUCUAUACGAGCAAUGUACGCUCAACUGCAUGGUGCCUCUGUUUUCCUUACAGAUGCUGCUUUGACAAGACCGCGUCAUGAAGCCUCUGCCGGCCCAAACUCCUACGGAAACCCGCCUGCUCAGGCUCAGUCUCCACCUGUUAUUCCUCACCCUGUGCAUGCCUCCCAUUCUAACAUGUCUUGUCAUGCACCCCCACCUCACCCCGUGGCACCCCCACCCCCUACUAAUUUAGACAGCACAGCUGCACCAAUCCCGCAGCAUCUUCAUGCCACAAACCAGCCAAUUCCGUAUUACAUUCCAGGCACUGCACCUCCAGGACAGAGACUGCAUCAUCACGAAGUUACGCAGAGGAUGGUAGAUCGAAGGAUGAUGAUGCAGCAUACAAUGCUGGCACCUGAGUGCCCCCCACCUCACCCACAUAGGAUGCACCCCUACAGUGGACACGGACAUCCUGUGCCUGGGACUAUGUCCUCACAUCCUCGGGGCCUGGGAGCUGAAGCUGGAGGGGCUGUACCUGCUGAGGCACCUGGAGCACCGCAUCCCCACUUGGACCAUCACCAUAUAUCACUUGGACUUCACUUCGUAUUUGUACGAGUUCUUCCUUUACUGAUACUGGAACCUUUACAAGAAAGAGAAAAUGUCAACAGUGGAGCAUCUGAGGAGACGAUCGAGAGAUGCACAUACCCACAUAAAUACAAAAAAAAAGUAAGAAUUUAUUCUGCGUGAUGUCUACUUUAUUGAAAUGUAUAAGAUUUAGUAUUGUGGACCUUUGAAUUCAACUACAUUAUUACUAAAGCAACACAUGCAUAUGAUUUUUUAAAAUUUGAAAGUUUAAAAAUAUAUAUUCUGAAGUUUCUUACCCUGAUGACCCAAGUUUUUCUUCCCAGAAGAAAAAUCAUAGUUAAGGGUUUCUUACGUAAUCUAGGUAUUUUUGGGCAUUAAUAAUGUACAUAUGUAUGCAUUUCCCCUUCUACUUUUAAAAAUGACACAAAGAGGAUGAUAAGCGCACCGUUUUUGUGCAUUGUUUUCAUUCUGGAUCAGAACAUGCCACCCAUAUUCUCUUUAAUAACUUAUACUGUACUUUAACUGGCCACUUAUUUUGACAUUUAGUUAACCUACAUUUCUUACAUUGUACCCUCAAUUUAUAGUAUUAUUUAUAGAAGUUGUGCAAUAGACAUGCUAUAUAGAUUUCUUUCAACAAACAACUAUGCUAUGCAGACUGAUAAUAAGAAAGUGAAAAAUCACUGUAUUUUUCAUCUGUCUUCUAAGAGUAUUAAAGAGGUAUUACCACUAAAUUUAAGUCCUUUCAGUUGUCUAAGCUAAAGACUAUGUCAUCAGAUUAAUUUAUUUGGAGAUUAUUUGAAAAUUCCUUAGUAAAGGGUAUGUGUUAUGAUGGGACAAAAAUAGAGUUUAUAAUCAUCCUAACAGUGUAUUAAAAAUACUAGUUUUCCCAGUAAUUAAUUAGUUACAUUUAAUUUUCCUUUUGAUGCUGCUUAAUUAAGUCUUAAAAUAACUUAGUUGAAAAUAGUCACUUAAUUCAUCCAUUAACUCAUCACAGUUAUACCUGGGAGAUAAGUUGUGGCUGAACGUGUAGUUUUGUUUUGCAU